CCUACGGGAGGCAGCAGUGGGGAAUAUUGCGCAAUGGGCGAAAGCCUGACGCAGCGACGCCGCGUGAGGGAUGAAGGUCUUCGGAUUGUAAACCUCUGUCAGCAGGGAAGAACGGUCACUGUGCUAAUCAGCAGUGAAUUGACGGUACCUGCAAAGGAAGCACCGGCUAACUCCGUGCCAGCAGCCGCGGUAAUACGGAGGGUGCGAGCGUUAAUCGGAAUUACUGGGCGUAAAGCGCUCGUAGGCGGUAUGUCAAGUCAAGGGUGAAAUCCCCGCGCUUAACGUGGGAACUGCCUUUGAAACUGGCAAACUGGAGUGUGUGAGAGGAGAGUGGAAUUCCAGGUGUAGGAGUGAAAUGCGUAGAGAUCUGGAGGAACACCAGUGGCGAAGGCGACUAUCUGGCACAUAACUGACGCUGAGGAGCGAAAGCGUGGGUAGCAAACAGGAUUAGAUACCCCUGUAGUC
Molecule: ribosomal RNA, 465 nt
Filed under: uncultured bacterium
Lineage: Bacteria
Description: partial 16S ribosomal RNA
Rfam family: Bacterial small subunit ribosomal RNA
Source: RNAcentral